UAAUACGUAGGGCGCAAGCGUUGUCCGGAAUUAUUGGGCGUAAAGAGCUCGUAGGUGGCUUGUCACGUCGGGUGUGAAAGCUUGGGGCUUAACUCCAGGUCUGCAUUCGAUACGGGCUGGCUAGAGGUAGGUAGGGGAGAACGGAAUUCCUGGUGUAGCGGUGAAAUGCGCAGAUAUCAGGAGGAACACCGGUGGCGAAGGCGGUUCUCUGGGCCUUACCUGACGCUGAGGAGCGAAAGCGUGGGGAGCGAACAG
Molecule: ribosomal RNA, 255 nt
Filed under: uncultured prokaryote
Description: partial 16S ribosomal RNA
Rfam family: Bacterial small subunit ribosomal RNA
Source: RNAcentral